AGGAGUAUUAACAUGAGCCCGACAAGGCUUCUAAUAACAAACAAUCAUUUGGAAAUCAUGCUUGAAUCAAUCUUCAACUAGUUCAAAAGACAAUUAUAAGAUUUCAAAUUUACUUAAAACCUCUGUUCAGUAUAUAUAAUUGACAAAUGAAAUCCUAUAAGAUUAUCCAAUAAACAAAUAUGAAUCUAAACAUCAACUUCAAACUAAUCAUGCUUAAAAGUAUACCAUAAGUAAAUAAGUGUAUAGCUUGACUCUUAGAAUAACCUAUACCAUUUCCUUUUCUUUUGACAUGACUUUAUACUAACUACUACUUAAGAAACAAUCAGUUGCCCAUUGCAUGAACACAUCACUGUGUUAUAGCGUCCAAAUAAAUUGAAUAGCACUAAGAGAUCUAGUACAACAUACCCUAUUUAACAUAAUUGAACGCAGAAUCUAACUACUGAUUCGGCUAAUAGGUUUUCAUAAAGUUUUUGUGAUAGUUCAAGAUCAGAUACAAUAAUAAGAUUUCAAUUGUCACAAACCAACUUCUAUCUAUAAGGUGUUUAAUAGAAAAUGGAAUUCCCACUAUGUACAAACCAAAUACCAAGACACCAGCAAAAUACAGUGCAUCAAAUAAACUCAAAACCAUGAAACUCAAGAAAAAGAAGCUAAACUAUGAAUCGGAACGUGUUGAGGCUAUGCUUAAAACUCCAGAUUUUAUUUCACACUUCAAAUCAAGCCUCACAUGAGUUAGAAUUCAGAAACAUGUACCUGGAAUUCAAAAGAGAAACAAAAGGAAUGAAGAAUUAGCAAAAGCAGCAACAGAAUCAGCCUAACCCAGCAAUAGAACAGUACCCAAAACCAAGCAGCUCAAACCAAACUUUGAAACCCCAGAACUCAAACCAUUUUUACUCACGUGCAGGAAUUUGAAGCUUUUUCAAAAGUUCUAGCUAAUAAAGGGGAGCAGAAAAUCAAAACUAAACAGAAUUUUGAGCUAUUAUUUUGAAAAAAAUAUGGGAUUUCAAUGUUAUUUAAGAGUUUUCUCAAGACUCAAUCGUUUUAGUUUUUUCAGGAUUUUUAAUCUCUAAAAUCUGGCUUCUAAGUGAAGAAAGAAUGCAUUUAUAUGCAAGCUUUUAGGGAAGCAAGAAUGAGUUCAGUUUUUGCAUACAUCCUUUUAGAAUUUUCACUUUUGCUGCUAUAUCCUUAGUUUAAAGAUCAGGUUUUCAGUUUAGUCUCAAUCCCCAGCUUCUAGGAAGCUUCCCUAUUCAGUUACAAUAAUUCCCUCACCUAGAAUUCCUAGAUUAACCCUUAAAACCCUGCUAUUUUCUUCAGAAAUCCAAAUUGGUAAAUUUGACCCAAUGACUUAAACCAAAUUGAACGGGCUGCACUUUGCAAAUGGGUUAGAAAUAACCCAAAGCCCAAACUAUAAACUAACCCAGCUAAUUUCUAUAAACAUAUGGAACAACAGAAAAACACUGAAAUGAUUUCCACAAUAAAAAAUCUAAACUAAGUUACUGAUUAAUUAACACAAAUAGGCAGGGAAGUAACUAAGUUAUUAAAUCAAAACAAUCUAAUUAAAUAAAACUAGUGGACUAAAUCAAAAGGUGAAAUUAGAAGUUUAAACAUGCCAUAAACAAAACUAAACAGACCAAAAAAAUCAAAGAACAAGCUUUUACGAUUUGAAAAAGAAACAAAGGGAACAAAUGAACUGAAAACAAUUCAAACUCAAAAGAUUGGUCGAGUUUUCAGCCAGAGUAAAAAAAAUCUAACUAAAAAAAGGGAGAGGAAAAGAAGAUGAAUAAGAUAGUGAAACAAGAAAAAAGAGUCAAAGAGAUGAAGACACUUACCAAAUAAGAAAUAAAAAAAUCUAUUGGAGACCUUGAUUUAACGAGACUAAUGUUAAAUAUUUGUUCUUUGUCAAGAACAACUGAACAACGUCAGUUUGUAUCGAAUCAAAACUUCAAACUCGAAAGAAACAAGAGCCUAUGGUCAUGCAUGCCAUCGGGUUCAACGGAAAUGGAUUUUGGACUUUUAGGGUUCGACGUAGAUUUAAAUUCAAGGAGUUUCAAGAUGAUUCGAGGGGAAACAAUUAGAGAUUUAGGAUGGGGAGGUGAAGGGGAGUCUGUGGUGUAGUUUUGGAGGUGAUUAAAAGCGACGUUGGCUUGAGGUAGUGGAGAAAUGGGGCAGCGCUAGGGUUUAAAGGGUGUCUUUGAAGAUGGAUGAGAUGAAGGAUAUGAGUUAGGGGUAGGGGCA
Molecule: long non-coding RNA, 2232 nt
Filed under: Nicotiana benthamiana
Lineage: Eukaryota; Viridiplantae; Streptophyta; Magnoliopsida; Solanales; Solanaceae
Description: long non-coding RNA (NBEN_LNC027446)
Source: RNAcentral